GACGAACGCUGGCGGCGUGCUUAACACAUGCAAGUCGAACGGAAAGGCCCUGCUUUUGUGGGGUGCUCGAGUGGCGAACGGGUGAGUAACACGUGAGUAACCUGCCCUUGACUUUGGGAUAACUUCAGGAAACUGGGGCUAAUACCGGAUAGGAGCUCCUGCUGCAUGGUGGGGGUUGGAAAGUUUCGGCGGUUGGGGAUGGACUCGCGGCUUAUCAGCUUGUUGGUGGGGUAGUGGCUUACCAAGGCUUUGACGGGUAGCCGGCCUGAGAGGGUGACCGGGCACAUUGGGACUGAGAUACGGCCCAGACGCCUACGGGAGGCAGCAGUGGGGAAUAUUGCAAAAUGGGCGGAAGCCGGAUGCAGCAACGCCGCGUGCGGGAUGACGGCCUUCGGGUUGUAAACCGCUUUCGCCUGUGACGAAGCGUGAGGGACGGUAAUGGGUAAAGAAGCACCGGCUAACUACGU
RNAcentral lists this ribosomal RNA (467 nucleotides) under uncultured bacterium. RNAcentral's name for it is "partial 16S ribosomal RNA". It matches the Rfam family "Bacterial small subunit ribosomal RNA", at positions 28 to 506 of the family's 1533-position model. The record is from RNAcentral.